This 20-nucleotide microRNA is filed under the name Macrophomina phaseolina MS6. Its description in RNAcentral is "miR-2325c". The record is from RNAcentral. Lineage: Eukaryota; Fungi; Ascomycota; Dothideomycetes; Botryosphaeriales; Botryosphaeriaceae.
UGUUGUUUUUUUUUUUUUUC